UCCUACGGGGCGCAGCAGUAGGGAAUUUUCGUCAAUGGGCGCAAGCCUGAACGAGCAAUGCCGCGUGAACGAGGAAGGUCUUCGGAUCGUAAAGUUCUGUUGCAGGGGAAAAAGAGCGGAGAGAGGAAAUGGUCUCCGAUUGAUAUUACCCUUCGAGGAAGUCACGGCUAACUACGUGCCAGCAGCCGCGGUAAUACGUAGGCGGCGAGCGUUAUCCGGAAUGAUUGGGCGUAAAGGGUGCGUAGGCGGCCUGCUAAGUCUGGAGUGAAAGGUACCGGCUCAACCGGUACAGGCUCUGGAAACUG
This 305-nucleotide ribosomal RNA is filed under the name uncultured bacterium. RNAcentral describes it as "bacterial SSU rRNA". It matches the Rfam family "Bacterial small subunit ribosomal RNA", at positions 337 to 635 of the family's 1533-position model. The record is from RNAcentral.